UGGAUGAUGUGGAUAAUUCGAUGCAACGCAGACUACACCCUUGACAUGUCCGGAACUUGCCAGAGACGGCUUGGUGCCCGAAAGGGAAUCGGAACACAGGUGCUGCAUGGCUGUCGUCAGCUCGUGUCGUGAGAUGUUGGGUUAAGUCCCGCAACGAGCGCAACCCUUAUCAUUAGUUGCUACGCAAGGGCACUCUAAUGAGACUGCCGGUGACAAACCGGAGGAAGGUGGGGAUGACGUCAAGUCCUCAUGGCCCUUAUGGGUAGGGCUUCACACGUCAUACAAUGGUCGGUACAGAGGGUUGCCAAGCCGCGAGGCGGAGCCAAUCCCACAAAGCCGAUCGUAGUCCGGAUUGUUCUCUGCAACUCGAGAGCAUGAAGUCGGAAUCGCUAGUAAUCGCAGGUCAGCAUACUGCGGUGAAUACGUUCCCGGGUCUU
This 437-nucleotide ribosomal RNA is filed under the name uncultured Thiobacillus sp. Its description in RNAcentral is "bacterial SSU rRNA". It matches the Rfam family "Bacterial small subunit ribosomal RNA", at positions 933 to 1382 of the family's 1533-position model. Lineage: Bacteria; Pseudomonadati; Pseudomonadota; Betaproteobacteria; Nitrosomonadales; Thiobacillaceae. The record is from RNAcentral.